AUAUAUAUAUAAUUAUGCUCCUAUACUAUCAAUAGUACCAAGCUCUUGGUACUAUUGAGUUUUUGGCCGUUGGAUGAAAGGAUGUGCGGUUAGAAUGAUAGUGGUCCCCUAGGGUUGAGUGGGUGGUUGGUUUAAUAGUAUAAUCUAACGGGUGGAAAUGAUCACAUGGUAGAUCUAACGGUAGAAAACUCUAUAGUACCAAAGGCUUGGUACUAUCAAUAGUAUAGUAGCCGGACUUUAUAGAAUUAUAUAUAUAGUUGAGUUGGAAUAUUAUUAAUAGUAUAUGGGUUUUUUUGUUAUCGAUUUUUUAGCCGUUAGAUCUAUACUUUAAUCAAUUCCACCUUUUAAAUCAUACUAUUCAAUCAACCACCACUAAACCCUGUGGGACCACUAUCAUUCUAACCCUACAAUUUUUCAUCAAAUUGUUAAAAACUCAAUAGUAAAAGUGUUCAAAUACUAUUAAUAGUAUUUUAGCCCAAUUAUAUAUUUAUACUAUAUAGAAAAGCAUGUAUUUCAGAUUUGGGUCUGUCGACAGACCCAUUUUUUAGCGGGAAAAAUAUUGAUUACUUUUUCCGUACGUAAAAUAAAUAGCAUAAUAAAACAAACUUUUAAUUUCCGUUUAUCUCUAAAAUAGAAAAAAAAAUAUAUACUUAUCCAAAUUUUUGCCAACCGAAAGAUAUCUACUGUGAAUCUAUAUUUUAAUACGAAAUUUGUUUAAUUUCUUCUUAUCUCUAAAAUAGAAAAAUGUUCACGCUUAUCCAAAUUUUUGCCAGAAUAUCUACUGUAAAUCUAUAUUUCAAUUCAAAAUAUAAAAUUAAUUUAAAAUUUUAAAUGUUGGGACUAUCAACAUAUUAACGACAAUAAUUUAAUAGAUAGAUUGGUUGAUAAAUUUGUAAAUCAUAUUUUUGAAUUAAUAUGAUGUAUAAAUUUAUGAUCAAUUUAUAAAAAAUUAUCUCAAAUAAGAACAAACGGUUAUGAUCAAUUUGUUAAAAAAAAUAUUUAUGCCCAUCUAUAAUUUCAAUUCUACGAACGGUUAUGAUCAAUUGAUUAAAAAUAUUGAAAAUAAAAAUGAACUGUUAUGAUCAAUCUGUUAAAAAAUAGCACUUCUAUCUAUUUAUUUUACAUUAAAAUUUAAAUUU
RNAcentral lists this long non-coding RNA (1139 nucleotides) under Ananas comosus (pineapple). RNAcentral describes it as "long non-coding RNA (ACOM_LNC028483)". The record is from RNAcentral. Lineage: Eukaryota; Viridiplantae; Streptophyta; Magnoliopsida; Poales; Bromeliaceae.